Molecule: ribosomal RNA, 255 nt
Filed under: uncultured bacterium
Lineage: Bacteria
Description: partial 16S ribosomal RNA
Rfam family: Bacterial small subunit ribosomal RNA
Source: RNAcentral
CGGGACGGGUGAGUAACGCGUGGGUAACCUGCCCUGUACAGGGGAUAACAGUUAGAAAUGACUGCUAACACCGCAUAAGCGCACGGUAAGGCAUCUUAGUGUGUGAAAAUAUUCAUAGGUACAGGAUGGGCCCGCGUCUGAUUAGCCAGUUGGCAGGGUAACGGCCUACCAAAGCGACGAUCAGUAGCCGGCUUGAGAGAGUGAACGGCCACAUUGGGACUGAGACACGGCCCAAACUCCUACGGGAGGCAGCAG